This is a non-coding RNA of Coturnix japonica (Japanese quail), 294 nucleotides long. Lineage: Eukaryota; Metazoa; Chordata; Aves; Galliformes; Phasianidae. The record is from RefSeq and is a predicted model, not a curated record.
GAUCACUCUUCAGUGGAGAUUGUCUCAGCAGUUCCCAGCAGACCAAAGGCUUCUAUACAGGAGUGCUGUACUGAAGCCUGUUCAGGCCCACAGCCAGCAGUGGCAUGUUCACAGAGGGAAGCAGCCAGAUACCCUGCGGCGUUGCUGAUCAUCGCUGUGCUUUUAUCAGCACUAGUGCUAGGACCUCAGCUCCACAGUCACAGCUCUGGUUUAACUCAAUUUGUAAAACUACUUCUGCUUGGAGAAAUAAGAAUGGUAAAACAUAAAGGCACUUCUAGACAAAAGCUAAGAAAA